UGUUUGUGCUCGUGGGUCCAGAGUG
Molecule: microRNA, 25 nt
Filed under: Equus caballus (horse)
Lineage: Eukaryota; Metazoa; Chordata; Mammalia; Perissodactyla; Equidae
Description: eca-miR-9042
Source: miRBase by way of RNAcentral